Molecule: ribosomal RNA, 722 nt
Filed under: uncultured bacterium
Lineage: Bacteria
Description: bacterial SSU rRNA
Rfam family: Bacterial small subunit ribosomal RNA
Source: RNAcentral
GAUGAACGCUAGCGGCAGGCUUAAUACAUGCAAGUCGAGGGGCAGCACAGUGUAGCAAUACAUGGGUGGCGACCGGCAAACGGGUGCGGAACACGUACACAACCUUCCUUCAAAUGGGGAAUAGCCCAGGGAAACUUGGAUUAAUACCCCGUAACAUUAUGAGGUGGCAUCACUUUAUAAUUAUAGCUCCGGCGUUUGAAGAUGGGUGUGCGGCUGAUUAGGUAGUUGGCGGGGUAACGGCCCACCAAGCCUUCGAUCAGUAACUGGUGUGAGAGCACGACCAGUCACACGGGCACUGAGACACGGGCCCGACUCCUACGGGAGGCAGCAGUAAGGAAUAUUGGGCAAUGGACGCAAGUCUGACCCAGCCAUGCCGCGUGGAGGAUGAAGGUCCUCUGGAUUGUAAACUUCUUUUCUCUGGGGCGAAAAACAGGUUUUCUAACUUGCUUGACAGUACCAGAGGAAUAAGCACCGGCUAACUCCGUGCCAGCAGCCGCGGUAAUACGGAGGGUGCAAGCGUUAUCCGGAUUCACUGGGUUUAAAGGGUGCGUAGGUGGGUUGGUAAGUCAGUGGUGAAAUCUCCGGGCUUAACCUGGAAACUGCCAUUGAUACUAUCAAUCUUGAAUACCUUGGAGGUGAGCGGAAUAUGUCAUGUAGCGGUGAAAUGCUUAGAUAUGACAUAGAACACCAAUUGCGAAGGCAGCUCACUACACGGUCAUUGA